Bos taurus (domestic cattle) is the source of this 2311-nucleotide long non-coding RNA. The record is from Ensembl. NCBI's taxonomy places the organism in Eukaryota, Metazoa, Chordata, Mammalia, Artiodactyla, Bovidae.
UGGAGAGGAGAGACCCGACCGGUGCGGGUGCGGGGUGGCCGGCGAGACGGACCCGUGCGACGAGCUGUCGCAAGACAAGGUCGCAAGACUGAUUCGCCAGAAACGUCCGGACUGCAGUGUGUUACUCAGGCUUCCUCCUGCGGAGAGAGGGGCUCCGUAGGGUCGGGUGUGUGGAGGGGGCUUCCCUGCCAGGCGGAAGGCGGAUGGCCCACAGUGGGGAAGGGAGGAGGCGUGUGGAAGCGGAGGGCGGGGCCGGGCCGCGGGAGGGGUUCACUCCAACUCCAGCGCCUUUGUCCUUCGGUGCUUCUACAACCAAACCGAUCCCGGGCCUCCUACCGAAAGCUCCCUCCGCCUAGACCCUCGUUUCCCUGCCCCUCAUCAGCUGUGGGCUUCGCUGGUGGCUCAGAUUGUCAAGAAUCCGCCUGCAAGACAGGAAUCACGGGCUCGAUUCCUGAGUCGGAAAAAUCCCCUAGAGGAGGAAAUUGAAACCCACGACUGUGUUCUUGCCUAGGAAAUCCCAUGGACGCAGGAGCCUGGCGGGUCACAAGGACCGAAACAGCUGGACACACAGACUAAACAACAGGAAACAUUCUAUUGAUCUGAGCCGUCACAGCCACUAACCACAUGCAGCCAGGGAACUCUGGGCUGGUGGUUUCUCCCAAUUCAGAGUCGUGAUCAACGAGACCAGAGAGGCUGAGAAACUUGAGGAUUGACACCGUUAUCAUCUUCAUUUCACAGUCGUGAUCAACGAGACCAGAGAGGCUGAGAAACUUGUCCUGGGUCACUCAGCUAGAAGGCAGUUGACCUGCGGAGUUGAUCACGGUGUUCCAAGAACUGCCAGGUUCUGAAGCACAGGUCCCGCUCACUGAUGGAGUCCAGACCAGUGACUGCACUAGUUGUCUAGAACUUUCAUAUCCCUUUUUGCACCCCUGCCCAUCCUUCCGCAGAGGAGGACCCUACUUUGCAUACCCCAGGGGCGUGGUCAGCCCUUCUGGUCAGCCCUUCUAGCUUGGUCCUUGGCACUGUCCUGGCCCCCGUCACUCUGCAGAAACUGCUGUGGCGCCAUAGGUCGCUGCGCCUGCCGCACACUUUGCACGAGAAGAGGGGGAAAGCCACAAGAAGAGGAAGGCGACAUUGAAGGACAGCAAGGUUGCUGGUGACACACACAUGGAUUUGCUGGCGCAAGGCCCACAGCUCCAUGGUUUUGAUAAGAGUGGGUGGCCCCUGGGGUCAAGUCCUCACCUGAGCUUGUCUUGGCUUCUGGCUCUCUGAUUCCCUGCCGGCUUGGGUUUUCCCUGUCUCCUGUGGGAGAGGAAGGGUGGGGGGAGUGAUCUGUUUCACUUCUUAGGGAACCCUAAUAACCUUCUGGACAGAUUAGCUCUGAGGUCCCCUCUGGACAUGCCUGGCAGGAGUCAGCCCUCAACUAGCAAACACUAGGGAUAAAGAGAGUUUUUGCCAGGUAUUUGGGAAUUGAUCCUCAGACAGUUUCAUUCCUGCAAGGGAGUGUCUCACAUUAAAGUGAUUUACAUCACCUUCUAGUUCAUGCAUAGGACCCUUAGGAGCUUGGUUAACUUGAGUUAGUACCCCUUCCCCAUCAUGCCCUGUUAAAGUAUUAGUUGCUCAGUUGUGUCCGACUCUGCAAUCCCAGACUGUAGCCUGCCAGGCUCCUCUGUUCAUGGGAUUCUCCAGGCAAGAACACUAGAGUGGAUUCCCAUGCCCUCCUCAAGGGGAUCUUCCUGACCCAGGGAUCAAACCUGGGUCUCCUGCAUUGCAGGCAGUUUCUUUACUGUCUGAGCCACCAGGGGAAACCCCACCAUUCCCUGUUCUCUGCUCAGACAGAAAUUCUACUGCUGGCCCCAGACCUCAUCCAGAUGCCAUGUGCCUUCACUAAGGUAUUGUAUCCUCAGAGUCCCUGAUAUCCUUGCCCUGAAGGAGUUAGGAGUAACAGGUCAGGAUGGGACUCUAGGAUGACCCGCAGAGGUCUCAAGCAUUUCCUGUUUCUGCAGCCUGAGGAACCAGGUACCUUGUCAGACUCUUGCAUUUUUGCCAAACUCACAGGUUAUAGAUUAUAUCUCAUUGUUGUUUAAAUAUGCAUUUCUCUCUUUAUAGUUGUAUGAAAAAUCAUAUUUAUUAUAACUAAUUUUAAAGACUUUAUUGAAGGACAGCAUACAAAAAUGAUGUUAAAGUGUAAAACUUGAUUAAAUUUCACAAAGUAAACACAAUUGUAACCAUUACUCUGCUUAAGAAAAAGCAUUACUAUCUCCUAAGAAGAUGUUCUUCUGUCCCUUUCUUGUCAUGACUCUCUUCUGCC